GUCCACACCGUAACGUUGGGCGCUAGGUGUGGGAUCCAUUCCACGGGUUCCGUGCCGCAGCUAACGCAUUAAGCGCCCGCCUGGGGAGUACGGCCGCAAGGCUAAACUCAAGGAAUUGACGGGGCCCGCACAAGCGGCGGAGCAUGCGGAUUAAUUCGAUGCAACGCGAAGACCUUACCUGGGUUUGACAUACGCCGGAAAGCAUCAGAGAUGGUGCCCCUUUUGUCGGUGUACAGGUGGUGCAUGGCUGUCGU
RNAcentral lists this ribosomal RNA (254 nucleotides) under uncultured bacterium. RNAcentral's name for it is "partial 16S ribosomal RNA". It matches the Rfam family "Bacterial small subunit ribosomal RNA", at positions 793 to 1055 of the family's 1533-position model. The record is from RNAcentral.